GACGAACGCUGGCGGCGUGCUUAACACAUGCAAGUCGAACGGAAAGGCCUCUUUCGGGGGGUACUCGAGUGGCGAACGGGUGAGUAACACGUGAGUAACCUGCCCUUGACUUUGGGAUAACUUCAGGAAACUGGGGCUAAUACCGGAUAGGAGCUCCUGCUGCAUGGUGGGGGUUGGAAAGUUUCGGCGGUUGGGGAUGGACUCGCGGCUUAUCAGCUUGUUGGUGGGGUAGUGGCUUACCAAGGCUUUGACGGGUAGCCGGCCUGAGAGGGUGACCGGCCACAUUGGGACUGAGAUACGGCCCAGACACCUACGGGAGGCAGCAGUGGGGAAGAUUGCACAAUGGGUGGAAGCCGGAUGCAGCAACGCCGUGGGCGGGAGGACGGCCUUCGGGUUGUAAACCGCUUUCGCUCAUGACGAAGCUUUGUGUGACGGUAGUGGGUAAAGAAGCACCGGCUAACUACGUG
This 467-nucleotide ribosomal RNA is filed under the name uncultured bacterium. RNAcentral describes it as "partial 16S ribosomal RNA". It matches the Rfam family "Bacterial small subunit ribosomal RNA", at positions 28 to 507 of the family's 1533-position model. The record is from RNAcentral.